Long non-coding RNA from Pipra filicauda (Wire-tailed manakin), 311 nucleotides. RefSeq lists it as uncharacterized. NCBI's taxonomy places the organism in Eukaryota, Metazoa, Chordata, Aves, Passeriformes, Pipridae. The transcript has 3 exons. The record is from RefSeq and is a predicted model, not a curated record.
GGCCAGGUAUGCACAUCUUGAACAUUCAGGAUCUGGAUUUUAUUAUCCUUCGGGGAGCCAGAAUGUAGUCAAAGAAGAGAAGGGAAACAGUGAAAAUGCAUGAGUUGCUCUGCCGCCCAGGAAUGUUCAACCAAAACUCUUCCAUUCCUGAAGCUGUGACUGCUUUGCACUGCUGUCAAGGCUUUCUCUGGCAAUUGAGAGCCUGGGACACUGCUGGAGAUGACAACAGAGCCACACACUGAAAAAAGGCAAGGAGAGCUGAAUAUCUCCUUAGCCAGACAGCAUCAUCUAUUCUGUGUGAAACAUCACAA